AAUGCAACUUAGUUUAUUUAGAACAGUUAACCUGCACUUAACAAGAGAGGCACCUCAGUGGC
RNAcentral lists this transfer RNA (62 nucleotides) under Aporrectodea trapezoides. Its description in RNAcentral is "partial tRNA-Ala". The record is from RNAcentral. Lineage: Eukaryota; Metazoa; Annelida; Clitellata; Crassiclitellata; Lumbricidae.